Molecule: long non-coding RNA, 482 nt
Organism: Scatophagus argus
Lineage: Eukaryota; Metazoa; Chordata; Actinopteri; Scatophagidae
Exons: 4
Source: RefSeq, a predicted model, not a curated record
CACAUAUUUUAACAUCUUAGCCAAAUUUCACGUGCCCGUCUGUCCUUCUCAUUUUUCAUUCAUUAGGAAGAUGUAAGUCACCUGUGAGCAUCUGCUCAUAAACGCAGAGGUCGCACAUGUGGAGCGUUUACGGAACAGAUAACAGCAUAUUCCAAUAUGGCUUCGGACGCAGAUUGUACAGAAAAUGCAGCGAGCCAGCUGACUGAUGAGGGCCUUUCGCCGGUCAAACAGAAGCUGGAAGACGUCGAAGGCAAACUGGUGAGCCUGUCUGAGAAGAUAACCCUGUGCAACAGAGUUCUGAAUGACUUGAAGGACCUAAGUGAUGUUCUAGUGAGACAAUCUGUUCACGAUGUGUCCCUGUCACCGCUGCGGAAGUGAGCAGAAGUGGAACAGUCCUUUCUUCUUCUUCUUCUUUUUUUACUUCUAUCAACUCAGUCAGUUUUAACCAUUGUAAGAUUUCAUUAAACGGAAGAAACAUUUCA